CCUUUUCAAAUUAGAAAACAUAGUUUUUUAUUUUUGUUUUCAUGAAUAUAUACCAAGUUUUUGUUUUCGUUAACAUGAAUUUAUACCAUGUUUUUGUUUGUAAAACAUAUCUUCUUCAUAUUUUAUUUUUAAAUCUAAUUUCUUUAUAAAAUGAAAACUAGUCUAGCGUUCGGAUCCGAUGAAAACAGGUGAGGAUCCCAUGAACGUUGGUUUUAUAGCUUCUUUACAAAGGUUUGUUCGAAAUAUAAGUUGUUUAUAUGAUUUGAAAUUGGCUUCGCGUUCGGAUACGAUGAAAACCGUCGAGGAUCCCAUGAACGAACAGAAGGGUUGGUUUAAUACGUUCCUUUCAAAGUUUUGAUUCGAAAAUUAAGUUAUUUAUAUGAUUUGAAACUGGCCUCGCGUUCGGAUCCGUUGAAAUCCGUCGAGGAUCCCAUGAACGAACGGAAGGGUUUGUUUUAUACGUCCCUUACAAAGAUUUAAUUCGAAAUAUAAGUUGUUUAUAUGAUUUGAAACUGGCCUCGCGUUCGGAUCCGAUGAAAACCAUCGAGGAUCCCAUGAACGAGUAGACGGGUUGGUUUUAAACGCUCUUUACAAAGUUUUUUUUGAAAUAUAAGUUGUUUAUAUGAGUUGAAACUAGCCUCGCGUUCGGCUCCUAUGAAAACAAUCGAGGAUCCCAUGAACGAACAGAAGGGUUGGUUUUAAACGUUAUUUACAAAGCUUUUGUUUGAAAUAUAAGUUUUUUGUAUGAUUUUUUAACAGGACUCGCGUUCGGAUCCGAUGGAAGCCGUCGACGAUCCCAAGAACUAACAAAAGAAUUGGUUUUAUACGUUCUCAAUUGGUCUUUCAUGAUGCCCUUUGCGGCUCUUGUUCGCCAUCUUUCUUCUCCCUUUCCCCUUUCUUACGACUUGAAUCUCCAGAGUUUUUGUACCCCAAGGAAAAACUGGUUCGUUUUCUGGAAUGGGCACUGUAUUUUUAUACAAUUAUCAUUUGUUAAAAAAUUGUUUUAAUUUAUAAUAUUUUCAUAGCUAUAAUAAAAUGAAUAAUUACCUUUAAGGUUUUUUAGUAAUUCCUCAUUGAUUAUUUGCCUGAAGUGAUAAUUCAACCGUUGUUCCUGUAGCUCGAGGAAUCUAGCUCUUGCAGACACAUUGUCUUCUGGUGGUUCUAUAAAUGGAGUAUUAGCGGUCCUAAGCUGAGCCAACGCGCGAAAUUGAGCCAGUUUGCUCUGGAAAAUUGUCAGUUUAUUAGUAUAAUUUAGAUAAUUUCUAUUUGAAUUACUUAAAUUUAAAUUAUUACCUCACAUCUUCCUACAUGGCUUCUUCUCUCGGCUGGUAGCAAUUCAGUCAGAUCCUUUCCACAAAAAAUCACAUUGCAUGUUGAAUCCAUCUGUAUCAUGCAUUAUCAUUAAUUAAAAUGAAAUACAUUUUAAUAAUAAAUGCUUGUAAUUAGCAUUCGAAUCACAAAAGAAUAAGCAUGUAACAUUUAUCACAUCAAUUUUUACCAUUUUAUCACGUAAAGUUAUCAAAUUGCCCCAUUUAUUAUAUUUUGACCUUCUUACUGCGAUUACAGCCCCAGCAAAAUACUGUAAAUUUUUACUAAUUUGCGAAUAUUUGAUGUUAUUAAUAGUAUUUGCAAUUUACUUGAUUGAAAUUCCUAAAUUAAGAAAAUUUGGAAACAGUAACAUAGAAUAUUCAAUCAAAUUUCACCAUUUUUUCAUGUGAAGUCAUCAGAUCACACCAUUUAUUAUAUUCUAAUUAUUCAUCAAGCAUUGGAAUUCAAAUAAAACCUAAUAAUCAUAAAUAAUUUUUCAUAUAUGAACUGUUUUUCAUUGCGAUCACAGCCUCAGCAAAAAGUCACAGGAAACUGUUACUAAUCUUUUAACAUCGCAUUUCAUGAAUCUUAAAUUCUUUAAUUUACAUGAUUGAAAUUCAAAAAUCAAGAAAAUGUGGAACCAGAAAGAUACCUGUAGAUUCUUUUUUGACCUUGAUCACAGCUUCAGCAAAAAUCUACGGGAAACUUUUACUAAUCUGCCAAUAUUUGAUGUUAUUAAUCUUUGAUUCGUAAUGUACUUGAUUGAAAUUCAAAAAUCAAGAAAAUGUGAAACAGUAACAUACCAGUAGAUUCUUUAUUUGACCUUGAUCACAGCUUCAGCAAAAAUCUACAGGAAACUUUGACUAAUCUGCCAAUAUUUGAUGAUAUUAAUCUCAAAUUCGCAAUGUACUUGAUUGAAAUUCAAAAAUCAAGAAACUGUGGAAACAUUAACAUACCUGUAGAUUCUUUAUUUUACCUUGAUGAGAGCGAAUCAGAUUAAAGAAGGAUAAAAUAUAAUCUACUCGCUAAACUAUAUCUGAUAAGAACUUGAGCUUAUAUACUACCUAAAAAAGUAACUGCCUCUUUCUGAUUGGUUAUUUUCAGUAGUCACACAGAUUGCUGAUUUAUUGACAGCUGUGAAAUAUUGACAGCUGUGAAAUUCUAUGCAGAUAAAUUCUUUAGAUACUUUUAUGACCUUGCUGAGAGGGAAUCAGAUUGAAGAAGGAGAAAAUUGAAUCAAGUAGCUAAACAGUUUUAGAUAAGAACUUGAGCUUAUAUACUACCUAAAAUAUAACUGCCUCUUUGUAAUUCGUUACACAGAUUGCUUCGGUAUUGACAGCUGUGAAAUAUUGACAGCUGUGAAAUUCUAUGCAGAGAAAAUCUGUUAAUCAAAAUGAUAAAAAGGUCCCUUUAUUAGAAACAGUAACAUAGCUUUAUUUGUUUUUAAAGAUUUUUAUAUUAUUUUGUAACUUAGAAGGGUCUCUAUAGUUUCAAUAAACGAAUUGUUAAUCUUGUAACUUUAAUUUUCUUUAUGAUUUUUCUAAACAUUAUUGUUCUUUUCAAGCUAACCAUGCAAUUUUACCGUAUCUUUAUUAUGUCUAAACGACGACGUAUUGUAUGAAAAACCUAUUUAUUGUUGUGUAUCGGGACAACUAUCACUACAACAAAACAGAGCAAUAGAGGCGGUUUUAUAGGGGCGGUUAUACGGAAAGCCCCUAUGAGGAGUACUAUUUAAAAACUAAGCCUUUUUAUAGGGGCGGAACGAGUACUCGCCCCUAUUAAUGUGUAUCGUAGGGUCGGUUUGAUAAGUCUAGGGGCAGUUUUUAAAUUAAUGUAACUUUAACAAUCAAUUUUUUUUCCCCUCGCCUCUCAGCUCGUAGACUGCCCCCUAAAUAUGAUUCCUCUCUCAAUGGCGAUCAUCUUCUUCUUCUUCUUCGUUCAAGUUCUCUUCAUCCUCUCAGCUCGUGACCUAAUGGUGGUGACCUAAUUCUCAAAACGAUCUGCUCUCCAAUGGCGGAUCUGAUUUGUUCACUUCACUUCUCCCGAUUUUACUAGUAGAUUUAGGUUUCUGAUUUCACUUCACUAGUAGAUUUAGGUCGUGAUUUCACUAGCAGCUGCUCUCGUAAUUCACUUCUCACUGAAUCGAAGGUAACAUUGCUCUCUCCUUGGAAUCGUAGGUUUGUUGUGUUGUUGACUUUGUGGAACUUUGUAGAAAUACUCAUCCAAACAGGGAAUUUGUUGAAGAGGCUAACAAGGCAUCGAUGGGAAUCAAUGAAUAUCUACAUGUGAGGCAACACAACAUGUUGUUUCUCAAGUUCCUUUGACUACAAAUGAGGAAUUUAGAGCUGCAGUAUUUGCAGCAAAGCGGGCACUUCCAGUAGAGAAACACACCAAUUACCACCCGUCAACGAAUUAUGUUCAGAUUCCAAGAGCUUAUUCGGAGGGACAUGGAUAAGCUGACAAUGAGCAUUACUACCGAGCAUGGAAAGGCUUUGAAAGACGCAUAUAAUGAUGUAUCACGCGGACUAGGUUAGUUUCUUUUAUUUUCUAUGUAUGAACAUUCUCAUUUGUGAUCCUUGUGGUCUACAAAGUUUUGGAUGUUCACUGGUAGAGGUGGUGGAACAUGCUUGCGAAUUGGCUUCUCUGCAAAUUGGAGAAUUUGUUUCCAACAUCUCUAAUGGGACGGAUACCUAUAGCAUUAGGGAACCACUUGGCGUAUGUGCUGGAAUUUGGCCAUUCGAGUAUUCAGCAAUAAUCCCACUAUGGCUGUUUCCUGUUGCUAUAACAUGUGGAAAUACUUUUAUUUUAAAGCCACCAUAGAAGGAUCCAGGAUGGUCAUUCUUCAAGUUAGUUAGUUUGAAAGUCAACCCAACUCUUCAUUUUUGUCCAUUCAGCGGGCACACCAUUAUCUCUACUAGCACCGUCUGCACCGGGACUAUCUGUUGGCAAUUUGUGUUGAAUUAUCUAGAUUUUUUCUUAGUUAUCAUAUAUUGUUAUUACUUCCAUUGGCAAGAGACUAGAAAUUGUCUUGUUAUAAUUCAGUUUGGCACUAAAUAUAAAUAUUUGUAGAUUAUUAUGAUUAUUAAGAAAGCAUUGUUGUUCAUA
Mercurialis annua (annual mercury) is the source of this 4413-nucleotide long non-coding RNA. RefSeq lists it as uncharacterized. Lineage: Eukaryota; Viridiplantae; Streptophyta; Magnoliopsida; Malpighiales; Euphorbiaceae. The transcript is spliced from 8 exons. The record is from RefSeq and is a predicted model, not a curated record.